This is a non-coding RNA of Camellia sinensis, 4804 nucleotides long. The record is from RefSeq and is a predicted model, not a curated record. NCBI's taxonomy places the organism in Eukaryota, Viridiplantae, Streptophyta, Magnoliopsida, Ericales, Theaceae.
AAUACCUUCUCAAUAUCAUAUUAUGUGAACAUAAUAAACAAGACUUCACACAUAACUAGAUCAUAAUUCAUUUUAAGUAGUUUAUACAAUUUUAUAACCAUAUUUCUUUUCAUCUUUUCAUGAUUAAGCCUAGUAGAUACAAACAUAUGUGCAAAGACUAAAGAUUAACUAACACAAGAAUCAACCCUCAACUAGAUUAAAACAAUGGAUCUUGAUGUCUUCCAUGGAUAUUUACCAAUCAAAGUAACUAGCUCAAAAACCCCAAGUCAAGCUUGAUACACAACAAUUGGAGUGAAAUUUAGGGUAUUUGAGUUGGAUUACACAUACCUUGUUCUUUAUUCUUUGAAUCUUCUAGCAAAACCCUUCAAUUCUCCAAGCCCUAAUUGCUGUUUCCUUCCUCUCUUCUUUCUCUUCCUUUUCCAGGAGAUAAUUUAUAUUUGUUUUGAUGCUAAGUGUUGCCUUGAGUCUCUUCUAUCAUAGGCUUAUAUAAGGCUAGCCCAAUUAAAACACUUUAAUUUAUUACGAAUCAAAUAUUUACAAAACUUCAUAUUAUAACCUAAAAAUUAUGUUGAUCAUAACCGUAAAGUCAAUUUUGGGUUAUUGGGCCUCUAAGACUUUCAAUUUCAAGUUCAAACGCCCUAAUUUUAAUAGAUUUUCUCCAAUAACCCACAUAUAGAAUGACAUAAUUAAAUAAUUAGUAUAUAUAAGCACAACUCCACAUGGAAUUUCACAUUAAACAUGUAAUUACUCAAAUAACUAGAGAUGUGUAAAGCAUAUACGAGAGUCGGGUUAUUAUAUUUUGUCCUUCCUUUGACAGAGAAAAAUCCCCACCUUAUUCAUGUUUUCCUCUGCAAGUCACCCACUAAGCCCAUGACUUAGCAAAAAGCUGCUCCAUCAUCUACACUGUUCAAUGUAGAUUCUCAACCUCUCUCAAAUUGCUUGCCCCCUUAAACAACCAUUGAACCCUCACUUGUCUCUACCACAUGUCACACUCUAGCUGGUCCACUUGUCGACAGGGCCCAGCAAAAAUGGGUGCAAACAAUGCCCCAUUGUUUAAGUUAAAUAAAUACCAUAUGUUCUUAACUUAAAAAAACCUACUUAUUUGGGCCAAACUUGGACUUGGAACAAAAAAACUUGUCUCCUUGGACCCGAAAUCAGAAAGAAAAACACCUACUUGCUUUGGGCCCAAAAAAUAAAAAGACCAUAGCCCAAAAUAGGAAUAAUUUAAAAUAUUGGGCCCAUUAUAAACUAUAAAAAACCAACCUUUUCAACUUCAAAUCACUUCAGCUUCAUCUUAUUUUAUCUUGGAUCCCUCAAACUAUAUUUCUUCUUUUCAACACAUCCACAUGAAAUUUAAGCACUACAAAACCCUAAGUCAUGGCACCCAAAACAUCGAAACCAGUUCAAGAAGAAGAUACCAAUGAGGGCCUCCUUCAUUUUCCCAACUCCAUUACCACCCUCAUGAAACUUGAUGUUACGCUGCUGCCAAGAACCAACUCUGUUGCCAAAGCAACCUUAGGCCCCUCAUUCUUAUCCCAUUCUCCAGGUGAACUAUCCUCAUACUAUCCUCUUGCCAAUGGGGAAAACUUACUCUUCAACUAACCCAAACUUAACUGGACUAACUGGAAUAGUAGUAAAAACCCCCUCAGACCUUGGAGAAAACUAAACCCUUCAUAGCAAAGUUGGGUCAAAAGGAUUGAAGCCAAUGACUCUAAAGUGUGGAAGCACCAAGGCAUCAAUGAGGUAAUCAGACUGUCGACUAUGAAGUAUGACAUGGACAAGUGGCUAAUUGCUGCUGCCACAUGCUUCUGGUCCCAGUCCUGCAACUCCCUUCUCCUAAGAUUUGGAAUGAUUGCUCCCACCAUUCUAGAUGUAGCUCAUUUAAUUGGCCUCCCCAUUUUAGACGAUCAAAUUCAUGCCCUACUUCAACCCCUAAAAGUGACCUUUUCAUUGAAUACCGACAUGAGCUACACUGAAUUCACCAAAAAAUAUAAGGGCAAGCUUGGUUCACAUGUCAAGGACAAGGAAAGGGUUGCCUUCUACUUAGUUUGGCUCUACCAAUUUAUGUUCUGUGUUCCUGGGUAUAAAAUUACCAAGGAAUAGCUUCCUCUUGCCUUAUGUAUUCAAGAUGGCCAAACCAUGGCCUUUCUACCCUACCUUCUUGCUACCCUUUACAAGGGUUAAUUUUCUUUUGUUGAAAAGAGGAUCUCUACUAACUGUUGUGGACCUUUCUAGUUUUUCCAAGCCUGGCUAUAUGCCUACUUUCCUGAGAUACAACCCCCACAACCUAACACCAUGAGGCCAAUCCACCACUCUUAUACUGAACAACUCCUCACAUUUGUUAGCCAACCAACCUUCAAUUUUUUCAACUACCUCACCAUGUUUUACAACCUCCUCUUCAAUAGACUUCCUACCCUUUACAGGCCAUUCCAUAAUUGCCAAUUCUGAUCCUCUAGACUACAAUUCCUUUUCACAGACCCCUUUGACCUGACCAAUGACCAAGUCCAAGCACAAAUUGAGACUUGGAGACACAUUUUAACCUAUAGACACAUCUUGGUUGGUUGCUCUAUCUCUUCCACUAAGGUGUCCAGUUGUAGCUUUGAAACCUGCUACUCCAACCUAGGUCUAGACAGUUUGCCCUUUCCCAAUGCAUACUAUUUUCUUACUUCCACCCAACCAUUCAUGAAGAAAUUGGGUCUAAAAUAAGCAUCAAAGAGGACACCCAAGCUGACUCCAUCUUGCUAGAAAGCACCAAACUUCUCAAAAACUUCAGUCCCUUCUUUUUCCAACCUACCUCAGAUUGCACCACCACUUUUGAUCACUGGUGGAAGCUCAUGGCUGCCAUCAUCUUCUUCAAACCACUUGAGGCAUGUCUUCAAGACACUUUUAUUGACAAUCAAGGCCCCACAUCACCACCUUCGAAGCUUAAAGCCACAGGUAACAUUUGCACUUCUAUUUUUACACACCUUUUAACACUAUCCAAUUUUAUAAAUACUGACUUCUUUGAUUUUGGCAGCCAAUGUUGAACCUACUGUUGAGUCCCUAAACACAAAGGCAAGGCCCCAAUGGAUCCAACCAUCCAACCAAGGGACACAGCUCCAGUCCUUAAGCUGAUGGGAGACUACCUCUCAACCCUCCAAACACAAGCAUAAAUGGUGCAAAGGAGAAUCACCACCUCUCCUCCUAUUGACAAAGAAAGAAGGACCAAGAAGGGGCAAGAACCUCAAGCCACCCUUGUCUCUGAAGCAAAUCCUAAUGAAUGGGAUAUCCCACUUAGCCAAGUUAUUGGCCAAACAAUCUCACACGCACAGAACAACUGCACCAAGUAUACUUCCCUACCAUUUUCUUGUUACAUUUCACUUCUUCUUACUCGUAUUCAACUGACACUUUCCUUUUCUCAGAGAAAGAGGAGAAUAGUACUUAUUUCCACUGUUGAUGAUGAUGACACUCUCUCUAAUUCUCCCAAGGACACUAACCAAUCUUUACUCCCUCCACCUACCAAUAAGCCUAGACAACAAACUCCAUAACCAACUCCAAAACAGCCUACACCACAACCAUCUUCAACACCUUCCUAUUCUGAACCUCCCCUUAUUGCCCUCAGAGAUGUCACUCUUGGGGCCUUUCCAAUGAAGGUUUUCUACCUAGAGGAGACUGAACCCAUUAACAUCCCUUUAGUUUUUACCCCUCAACCAUCACCAUCUGACUCUACCAACUCCCAAAUAUCCACCAGACAACCAGAGAGAAUUGACCUUGACCACUCAUCCAAUAGUCAAUCAACUCCCCCAACCAAGAAUCUUCUCCAAGGGACCAAGUCACCAAGUCUCCUCCACCUGAUCUUCCAACCAUUCAUGAUACUGAACUAGCCUCUAAUGAGCCAGACAUUACCCUCAAGGCUGCAAACACAACAACAAUCCCAAUGUAAGAAGUUGACAUUUUUACACAUGCGUCUUCUCUUCCACCAAUUCCUAAAUCAACUCAGCCUACCACAGCUGCAAUUGAGCAAAUACAACUUCCUGAGGCCACUAACCCACCAGCACACAAUCUAUCCACUGAUGAUCAGGCCAGUAUCCCAGCUUAGGACAUCUGGGAGGAAAUCACUAUCUUUCAACAAAAUCCGGACCAAAUAUCACCCCUUCCUAAAAACUUCACCACUUUCAAAUUGACACUCAACAAUUCGUAACUAGUCUCAUCAACCUCAUCAACACACCCUUAGAAGAAAUAGCCCUCAACCAACCGAAUGAGGCCUUGGUCUGUCUCACUUCUAUUCUAAACAUUUCCCCUAACCCUUUCAACUCUAUGCAAUUAAAACAACUGGCCAGAAUUACCUCAAGAUGGCCAAUUCUUUUGGAGAUGGUUCAAUCCUGCUCUAAAGACAUCCAACUCAGAAAAAACUUUCUUGCCAAAGCCCAAACCAUAUCCACCUCCCUCAAACUCACUCACCAGACUUCUUUAGCCAUCUCUGAACAAGCUACAACACUAGCACUUGAGGAGUCAAAACUUGUGCCAGAACAGGCCACUGUUAGACAAAAAAGACUCCAUCUGCAAUAGCAAAAGGACUGACUAAGCCAAGAAGCAAGGACCAUGCUUUCUCAGAUUAUAAAUGGCCUUUCAUCAAUCCAAGCUGUCAAAGUAGAACUAGACCAAGCUUAAGCUAUGCUAGCAGAUGCUCAAUCAGAUUGGGGCAUUUGGCCAUUCUCUUUCCCGAGACUUAAUCUAGUUCUUUUUGUUUUUGCUUUUUCCUUUGUAGUAUACAGGAUGUUUUACUAUCUUUUUGUAAUCAGUACAUCAUUUGCACAAACUUUUC